RNAcentral lists this ribosomal RNA (458 nucleotides) under uncultured Methanomicrobiales archaeon. Its description in RNAcentral is "bacterial SSU rRNA". It matches the Rfam family "Archaeal small subunit ribosomal RNA", at positions 881 to 1338 of the family's 1478-position model. The record is from RNAcentral. Lineage: Archaea; Methanobacteriati; Methanobacteriota; Methanomicrobia; Methanomicrobiales.
ACAACAGGUGGAGCCUGCGGUUUAAUCGGACUCAACGCCGGGAAACUCACCAGAUAAGACAGCUGAAUGAUAGUCGGGCUGAAGACUCUACUUGACUAGCUGAGAGGAGGUGCAUGGCCGUCGUCAGUUCGUACUGUGAAGCAUCCUGUUAAGUCAGGCAACGAGCGAGACCCACGCCAACAGUUGCCAGCUCGUCCUCCGGGAUGGAGGGGACACUGUUGGGACCGCCUCUGCUAAAGAGGAGGAAGGAAUGGGCAACGGUAGGUCAGCAUGCCCCGAAUUAUCUGGGCUACACGCGGGCUACAAUGGGUGGGACAAUGGGUAUCGACACCGAAAGGUGAAGGCAAUCUCCUAAACCCAUCCUUAGUUCGGAUUGUGGGCUGCAACUCGCCCACAUGAAGCUGGAAUCUGUAGUAAUCGUGUUUCAAAAUGGCACGGUGAAUAUGUCCCUGCUCCUU